GGGCCUGUAGUCGAGUGGUAAGACGUUCCCUUGACGUGGGAAAGAUCCGGGGUCCGAUUCCCUGCGGGCCCA
Molecule: transfer RNA, 72 nt
Filed under: Candidatus Micrarchaeota archaeon CG1_02_55_22
Lineage: Archaea; Nanobdellati; Microcaldota
Description: tRNA-Val
Rfam family: tRNA
About the family: Transfer RNA (tRNA) molecules are approximately 80 nucleotides in length. Their secondary structure includes four short double-helical elements and three loops (D, anti-codon, and T loops). Further hydrogen bonds mediate the characteristic L-shaped molecular structure. tRNAs have two regions of fundamental functional importance: the anti-codon, which is responsible for specific mRNA codon recognition, and the 3' end, to which the tRNAs corresponding amino acid is attached (by aminoacyl-tRNA synthetases). tRNAs cope with the degeneracy of the genetic code in two manners: having more than one tRNA (with a specific anti-codon) for a particular amino acid; and 'wobble' base-pairing, i.e. permitting non-standard base-pairing at the 3rd anti-codon position.
Source: RNAcentral